This 337-nucleotide unclassified non-coding RNA is filed under the name soil metagenome. RNAcentral describes it as "partial contains 5.8S ribosomal RNA, internal transcribed spacer 2, and large subunit ribosomal RNA". The stretch from base 1 to 120 matches the Rfam family "5.8S ribosomal RNA", at positions 35 to 154 of the family's 154-position model. The record is from RNAcentral.
GAUGAAGAACGCAGCGAAAUGCGAUAAGUAGUGUGAAUUGCAGAAUUCAGUGAAUCAUCGAAUCUUUGAACGCACAUUGCGCCCGCCAGUAUUCUGGCGGGCAUGCCUGUUCGAGCGUCAUUUCAACCAUCAAGCCCCCGGGCUUGUGUUGGGGACCUGCGGCUGCCGCAGGCCCUGAAAAGCAGUGGCGGGCUCGCUGUCACACCGAGCGUAGUAGAUUUUAUCUCGCUCAGGGCGUGCUGCGGGUUCCGGCCGUUAAACCACCUUCAUAACCCAAGGUUGACCUCGGAUCAGGUAGGAAGACCCGCUGAACUUAAGCAUAUCAAUAAGCGGAGGA